CGGAGGAAAAGAAACCAACAGGGAUUGCCUCAGUAACGGCGAGUGAAGCGGCAAAAGCUCAAAUUUUAAAGCUGACAUCUUCGGUGUCCGCGUUGUAAUUUUGUGAGGCAUCUCCGGGUAGGGCGCCGGCCUAAGUUCCUUGGAACAGGACGUCACAGAGGGUGAGAAUCCCGUGCUUGGCUGGCUGUCCCCGUCCAUGUGAGGUGUCUUCGACGAGUCGAGUUGUUUGGGAAUGCAGCUCAAAAUGGGUGGUAAAUUUCAUCUAAAGCUAAAUAUUGGUGGGAGACCGAUAGCGCACAAGUAGAGUGAUCGAAAGAUGAAAAGCACUUUGAAAAUAGAGUUAAAAAGUACGUGAAAUUGUUGAAAGGGAAGCGCUUGAGACCAGACUUCGGUAAGGGGUGAUCAGCCGUCCUUCUGGGCGGUGCACUUGCCCCCCUCCGGGCCAGCAUCGGUUGAGGCGGCGGGAUAAAGGUCUCGGGAAUGUGGCUCCUUCACGGGAGUGUUAUAGCCCGGGUGAAUGCCGCCAGCUUCGACCGAGGACCGCACCCGCAAGGGUUAGGAUGCUUGGCAUAAUGGUCUUCAGCGACCC
RNAcentral lists this ribosomal RNA (589 nucleotides) under Morchella septentrionalis. Its description in RNAcentral is "eukaryotic LSU rRNA". It matches the Rfam family "Eukaryotic large subunit ribosomal RNA", at positions 51 to 650 of the family's 3401-position model. The record is from RNAcentral. Lineage: Eukaryota; Fungi; Ascomycota; Pezizomycetes; Pezizales; Morchellaceae.